RNAcentral lists this ribosomal RNA (304 nucleotides) under uncultured bacterium. Its description in RNAcentral is "partial 16S ribosomal RNA". It matches the Rfam family "Bacterial small subunit ribosomal RNA", at positions 506 to 807 of the family's 1533-position model. The record is from RNAcentral.
CAGCAGUCGCCACGGGAAUACAGAGGGUGCGAGCGUUAAUCGGAUUUACUGGGCGUAAAGCGUGCGUAGGCGGCUAAUUGAGUCGGAUGUGAAAUCCCCGAGCUUAACUUGGGAAUUGCAUUCGAUACUGGUUAGCUAGAGUGUGGGAGAGGAUGGUAGAAUUCCAGGUGUAGCGGUGAAAUGCGUAGAGAUCUGGAGGAAUACCGAUGGCGAAGGCAGCCAUCUGGCCUAACACUGACGCUGAGGUACGAAAGCAUGGGGAGCAAACAGGAUUAGAUACCCCAGUAGUCCCUGUCUCUUAUAC